This 141-nucleotide microRNA precursor is filed under the name Glycine max (soybean). RNAcentral describes it as "miR5782 stem-loop (gma-MIR5782)". Lineage: Eukaryota; Viridiplantae; Streptophyta; Magnoliopsida; Fabales; Fabaceae. The record is from miRBase by way of RNAcentral.
GGUAAAUUGAAUUGAACUUCUCCUAUAAGUUAAAAUCAACUUAUACACAUAAUUUUCGUAGAAACUCUAUCCUAUAGCUUCUUCAAAAGCUGAAGUGUGUAACCUGAUUUUAGCUGGUAGGAGAAGUUCAGUUCAUUUUAC